ACACUGUAUUGGAAUCGCUUCUUUUCUCUUUCUCUGUGAAUUUCUUGAGAGCACAGACUACAUUCUGCUUAACUUUUUAUCCCCAGCUUUCAGCACAGUGCCUGGCUGGAACUGACUUCUUCCUCCUCAUGGUCCACUUGAAAUUCCAGGAAAAGGAACAGAUGUGCAAGGAAUUGCAGCCUGGAGAAACAUAGUGUAUUUGGAGACUUGCAUGUAAAUGGAUAAAAUGUCAAUCAACCUUCAUGUUGUGUCUACGCUCAAUCAUCCCUGAUGACCCUACGCUGACUACAGAUGCAGAAUUCAGCAAAAACCAAUGAAAGCAUUCGGUGAGAAUCAAUGGCUAUAUGGAGCUUACAAUAAACCGUAUUGUGUAUUUUAUUAUUA
Molecule: long non-coding RNA, 384 nt
Organism: Homo sapiens (human)
Lineage: Eukaryota; Metazoa; Chordata; Mammalia; Primates; Hominidae
Source: Ensembl